Molecule: long non-coding RNA, 491 nt
Organism: Oncorhynchus keta (chum salmon)
Lineage: Eukaryota; Metazoa; Chordata; Actinopteri; Salmoniformes; Salmonidae
Exons: 3
Source: RefSeq, a predicted model, not a curated record
GAUGUUGUAGUACAGGUAGAUCAUUCAGACAGAGAUGUUGUAGUACUGGCAGAUCAUUCUUACAGAGUUGUUGUAGUACAGGUAGAUCAUUCAGACAGAGAUGUUGUAGUACAGGUAGAUCAUUCAGACAGAGAUGUUGUAGUACAGGUAGAUCAUUCUUACAGAGAUGUUGGAGUACAGGCAGAUCAUUCUUACAGAGUUGUUGUAGUACAGGUAGAUCAUUCAGACAGAGAUGUUGUAGUACAGGUAGAUCAUUCAGACAGAGAUGUUGUAGUGCAGGUAGAUCAUUCUUACAGAGAUGUUGUAGUACAGGCAGAUCAUUCAGACAGAGAUGUUGUAGUACAGGUAGAUCAUUCAGACAGAGAUGUUGGAGUACAGGCAGAUCAUUCUUACAGAGAUGUUGUAGUACAGGCAGAUCAUUCUUACAGAGAUGUUGUAGUACAGGUAGAUCAUUCAGACAGAGAUGUUGUAGUACAGGCAGAUCAUUCUUA